Molecule: long non-coding RNA, 3474 nt
Organism: Puntigrus tetrazona (Sumatra barb)
Lineage: Eukaryota; Metazoa; Chordata; Actinopteri; Cypriniformes; Cyprinidae
Exons: 2
Source: RefSeq, a predicted model, not a curated record
GCUUGUAGUCAGCUACUGCCAGCUCACUUCUGUUCUACUCUUCUUCUUUAUUUCCAUCUCUCACCUUCUCUCUCGCUCUCUCUGAUUGAUGGGAUGUGAGCUGUGGUAUGAGUUCGGACAAGCUUAAAGAUGUCAGCACCAGCAACAUUUUGGAAAAGCCAUGAACACCUUCUCACCGCCUCUUCUGACAGCGUCAGCGAGAAGACAGACUGAUGAGGAAUGAGACCAGGAAGAUGGAUGCAUGGGCAAGGAGAGCAGAACGAUGGAUGAAUCGGAAAGGUUUAAGCAGAUGCUGUCCCAAGAGCUGAGAAAGGACGCAAAAUAGCAGGAAGAAAGUUUGCCUGGGCGCCUUUGAACUCCCCGGGUCAGGGAAAUCACCACGAACGCACCAGACUCACCAGCAGAAACAUCCUCAGCAUCUCUCUGACCCACGGGUGAGACUGACGGACGCCGAUGAGCUCUUUAACUGAUGCCAGUCAGCAGAAGAACACAAUGCAGAAGCUACAGCUUUAGCUGAAAAUUGCCUGGAACUUCCAGGAGGAAUAUUUUAUGCUUGCUGUGCAGACAAUGGACAAAUGGCCGAGGAAAGCCAGAGCGACUCAGUGGGGAACCAGGAAAAUCUCCACACCAGCCUCCGGAUUUCAGACAAAGAGGCACAAAAGGUAAUUUUUUAUCUGCCGAGCAGCAUCUAAAAGGUAUCAAGCGGGAGCUGCUUUUCACGGCUGAGAGCGCAGAUGGAGUGCUGAAUCAAGCUGGGAUGAUCAUCAACAACACACCACUGCUCUUCUGCCUUUCAAACAGUCCGAGCGUAGCUUUUCACUAAGUUGGAUUUUCUUUCUCUUUUUUCUUUUUUUUUUUUUUUUUUUGGACUGAAUUAAUCUCUCUUCUAGCACGCUUCUUAAAAUGGGAUCCCGCACAAAGCUUAGCCUUCGCAUUUCUAGUUUUUCUUCCUUUUUUUUUAUGCAUUUUUCCAAAUUCCUGCUGCGGCGAUCAAUAGCGUUUGUCAUUUGUUCUCCUUGUUGGCUUGUCUUGCCACAUUUUCAGGAGGUCGGUAAAUUGGUCCUGACUAGAGUCAACCGGAAUCAUCAAAAGCAAAUCCCAUCAGAGGACAAUUUAUUGUUCUCCAGCUAGAAAACUCUUUUGCCGCUUAAUAUUGAAAAACAUUUCAAGACAGGCCAACGAAGCAUGAAUGUUACGAAUGAAAUACACUUAACCUCCCCAAAAAACACUUGAUGAGCACAAUUUUCUAUCCACGCGUUGACUUUUUUUUUUGCUUUCUUAAAAAAAGGAAGCCUAGACAAAAUAUAUCAAAUGGCUAAUGUCUUUAAAAUAAAGCUUACUUGUGGCUUUAGGAGGCGGGACAUUCUCGUUCAGGGAUCAUCUGAUUGGUCAAAAACUGUGUAACGCUGGAAGAGUCAUCGGUACGUUUUGCUUUGUAUCUCCAAAGGGACGACAGUACGUUUUAAAGGUGAUAAUGACAGGUAGCGGCUGAAAAAAAUUAGUUUUCCCGCCCCUUCCUCAGACUCGAUGCGGGUUGCCAGAUUGAAGAUGCACAGCACGAACAAAGCGCCACUGACAACGCAAGGUGACAAACCUUAUACCCUAAACUAAUGAGUUAAUUUAUCUGCUUUUUAAAAUACCUGUGGCCAUAGAACUUUUUGGAUGGAUACUAAGGAUAGGUUGGGUAGAAUUAAUCUUUAACCCAGUUCGUUUGCUCACUUCCAUGCCUGCGGUAACGCUUUCGAACUGGCAACCCGGGCUGUCUAAACUAUUACUUGGUAAACUGUGAGCGCGCGGAAUCACAGCAGACCAAAACAAAAACAGCUAUUCCAAUACAGAAAUCACAUUUUCAAAGCGAAUUAGCUGGUUUUAGCGCCGUUUUUCAAGUAACUUUCCUGAAUGUCUGCGAAUUAUGGCGUUUUUAGGCAUUUUGGUAGAAUCAAAAAACUUUUAAACGCUUGUCUGAUAAAAUUGGAUUUCGCCUAUUUUUUAUUACUCUAUUGAAAGCUAAACGAUAACUUUAAACAUUUUAUUAUGUUAUGAAAAAUGCUUUUUUAUUUUUAUUUGUUGCACAGGUAUGGUAAUAGUACAUAAUACAUUCACCAUAUUCAUGCACUGGGCUAUAUAAAGAACACAAAGCUAGGCUACUUCAAAACCAUUCUCAUUAUAUUUAGCAAACGCCAAUUAUUUUGUGACAUGGAUAUGUUAUAAUAAUAUGUUACCCUUGCUUUUGUUUUUUGUCAUUUUCAUUCAUCUCUCGCAGCCUUCAUCUUUCAACUCCACAGAACUGUAACCAGUUUCCAUUCAAACUCAGAAUUUAAUCGAGUUUCUGAAAUAUAUGGUGUAAGACUGUUGCUCAUUAAGCAGCGAUGAAGUGAGCAGAAAAUGACAAAACCCAUCAUGGUGUUAAUGUAAUAUAAUGAUUAUGUCUGUUUUGACCUCUUUUGACCCUGAACUUGUAAAGCGCUAUUUCUGCGCCGAUGUGGCUGAAUUUGGAGAAUAUGAACCUUUCUGUUGUUCCAGCAUAAUGAUGUUUAUAAACUUAAUUCUCCAUGUUAUUUAGCCGUUUUAAUGGUUCAUAAGGCAGGAAGGAGGCCAAGCUCAACUGGGCAACUGCUGACAUUGUGUGUGUGUGUGUGUGUGUGUGUGUGUGUGUAUGCAGCUCUGCUAUUAGACAGACAGAUGGCGCCAUCUAGUGACUAAAAAUCACAUGAAAGAAAACAAAAUGAUUCAAAACAACACAAUUAGAAUGAAAAGUACAGAAUGAAAGCCACUAUAUUGUUAGUAUAAAGAGUAGGAAGCCCCUUCACAAGAGAAAGAAAUGUUAUGUUUAUGCCCAAUUUUUAAUUACACUAAAGACUAGAACAUUAAUUAUAAUAAUGCAACAUUAGCGUUCUGGCAGCAAAAAAGAGAUAUAAAUAUUAAGCGCAGCAUAGAUUAUAUUUUGAGUAAAUUAUCACUCAACAGAGACGAUUCCCCUUAACGAUAACUUAACUAUGCAAUUAUUUACAAAAUAUUUAGUAUAAAAAUUACAAUCAUCUUUGAUGAAACUACUUGUCAUGAUUAAAAAAAAUAACAUGCUGGUUAAAUAUGUUUUGAAGCUGGGAUGUUGGUUUAAGCUGCAGACCAGCGAAGGAUCCAGCUUCAAAACAUACCUAAUAAGAAUAUGCCGUUUUUGUUCGAUUUGAGCGAAAAGGAGAUUACUUUUUUAUGUAAAAGACUCAAGAAAACAACAAGGGUGAAAAUAGAGAAGAGAAUUUAAUUACAAAAGAUCCCAAAUCACAUUCAAUCAAACGGAAUUACAAAAAGGGAAUGAAUGAAAGGCACACUUCAGGAAUCAUUGAAAUUAUGUACAUUAAAUAUCGAUACAGUGACACUUCAUGCAUUGCUGUCAAAAAUCAGUGAGUGUACUUGAAAAAAAUACCAUGUUAUCGACGCGCACACACACACACACACACACACACACACACACAC